GUGAUAUACAACGCCCAAGAAACAUCAAAGCUUGAUCCAAAAUCAAGAAAAUGUGUUUUCUUGGGGUAUGCUGAUGGAGUGAAGGGGUAUCGCCUGUGGGAUCCCACUGCCCACAAGGUUAUCAUCAGCAGGGAUGUUCUAUUUGUAAAAGGGAAGCUACAAAGAGGAAAAGG
Ipomoea nil (Japanese morning glory) is the source of this 173-nucleotide long non-coding RNA. RefSeq lists it as uncharacterized. Lineage: Eukaryota; Viridiplantae; Streptophyta; Magnoliopsida; Solanales; Convolvulaceae. The transcript is spliced from 3 exons. The record is from RefSeq and is a predicted model, not a curated record.